Molecule: long non-coding RNA, 541 nt
Filed under: Phoenix dactylifera (date palm)
Lineage: Eukaryota; Viridiplantae; Streptophyta; Magnoliopsida; Arecales; Arecaceae
Description: long non-coding RNA (PDAC_LNC017530)
Source: RNAcentral
GACCACAUGUUCCCUGUGGUAGGGUCAUAUCACCGACUAUUCUUCUUGCGGUACCAAUGUAUUAGCCCCCAUUGGCAGGGUCCUCAACAUAGCCCGACUGCAAGUCUGAAUCUAUUUCAAGUCAUAAUCUUUUCUUACAUUAUGUUUAGUGUUCCAAGCCAAAAGAUACAAUGUCAGAGCAAUUAAACACAAUUCAAAUCAGAAACAGAUACGUUCAAUCAUAAUCAUAUAAUAUUCUAAAAUACACAUAUAAUCCAUGCAUCAAAUUCGAAAUCAUGAAUAAUUCGAUUCGUGAAACAUAUAUAUAGUUUGCCGAUAAAUCUAGAAAAGAGGUUACAUCACUUACCUUGCGAACGCGAUCCACAACAAAUUCAAUUAAUUCCGUAAAUCCCUCACAGCACCUAAUAUUCAAAAACCAUAAUUUUCUUUUAAAAUUCAUCACAAUACAUAUAUAACCUAAAUUUAACAUUCUCUCAGGGCCGACCCUACCGAAGUGUUUAGCACCCCAGGUUCGGGUUCGGAUCCGGAUUCAUACCCGUAA